UGAGGAAUAUUGGUCAAUGGGUGCAAGCCUGAACCAGCCAUCCCGCGUGAAGGACGACUGCCCUAUGGGUUGUAAACUUCUUUUGUAUAGGGAUAAACCUACCCUCGUGAGGGUAGCUGAAGGUACUAUACGAAUAAGCACCGGCUAACUCCGUGCC
This 157-nucleotide ribosomal RNA is filed under the name uncultured bacterium. Its description in RNAcentral is "partial 16S ribosomal RNA". It matches the Rfam family "Bacterial small subunit ribosomal RNA", at positions 355 to 509 of the family's 1533-position model. The record is from RNAcentral.